Molecule: non-coding RNA, 80 nt
Organism: Podarcis lilfordi (Lilford's wall lizard)
Lineage: Eukaryota; Metazoa; Chordata; Lepidosauria; Squamata; Lacertidae
Source: the annotation of a GenBank genome assembly
AUUACUACUGGGAAAACCAGAGCUUUAACUAUACGGACCUUUGUUGGCAUAGUUAAAGCUAUGGUUUUCCCAGUAGUGAU